RNAcentral lists this ribosomal RNA (115 nucleotides) under Hyphomicrobiales bacterium. Lineage: Bacteria; Pseudomonadati; Pseudomonadota; Alphaproteobacteria; Hyphomicrobiales. The record is from RNAcentral.
CCUGGUGGUCAUGGCGAGGGGCCUGUACCCGAUCCCAUUCCGAACUCGGCCGUAAAACGCCUCCACGCCAAUGGUACUUUGUGUCAAGACACGGGAGAGUAGGUCGCCGCCAGGC